This 576-nucleotide small RNA is filed under the name Pan troglodytes (chimpanzee). Its description in RNAcentral is "processed transcript". Lineage: Eukaryota; Metazoa; Chordata; Mammalia; Primates; Hominidae. The record is from RNAcentral.
AUUAAAAAUCAGGUUUGGCCAGGCGUGGUGGCUCACGCCUGUAAUCCCAGCACUUUGGGAAGCGAGGGAGAAUGAUGAAUCAUCAAAAGAAGAGAAAUCUGACUUAAAGGAAAAAUCUACAGGAAGUAAGAAGGCCAAUAGAUUUCAUCCUUAUUCAAAAGACAAGAAUUCGGGCACUGGAGAAAAGAAGGGUCCAAAUCGUAACAGAGUUUUCAUUAGCAACAUCCCAUAUGACAUGAAAUGGCAAGCUAUUAAAGAUCUAAUGAGAGAGAAAGGGUUGUGGUGUGGUUGAAUUCAAAGAUGAAGAAUUUGUAAAGAAAGCCCUAGAAACUAUGAACAAAUAUGAUCUUAGUGGAAGACCCCUUAAUAUUAAAGAGGGAGGCCUGAGGCGACGGAGAGAGAUGGGGAGCGGCUGGUCGGUGGAGCAGUCAGAACAUUUAUUGAUUAAGUUCGCUGUUUUAUUUGGGCACGGUUGAUGGUGCCCCAAAACAAUUAAAACAUCAAAGAUCACUGAUCACAGAUCACCAUAACAGAUAAUAAUGAAGAAGGUUGAGAUAUUGCAUGAAUUACCAAAAU